UGGGGAAUUUUGGACAAUGGGCGCAAGCCUGAUCCAGCCAUGCCGCGUGCGGGAAGAAGGCCUUCGGGUUGUAAACCGCUUUUGUCAGGGAAGAAAUCUUCUGAGUUAAUACCUCGGGAGGAUGACGGUACCUGAAGAAUAAGCACCGGCUAACUACGUGCCAGCAGCCGCGGUAAUACGUAGGGUGCAAGCGUUAAUCGGAAUUACUGGGCGUAAAGCGUGCGCAGGCGGUUUUGUAAGACAGAGGUGAAAUCCCCGGGCUCAACCUGGGAACUGCCUUUGUGACUGCAAGGCUUGAGUGCGGCAGAGGGGGGAUGGAAUUCCGCGUGUAGCAGUGAAAUGCGUAGAUAUGCGGAGGAACACCGAUGGCGAAGGCGAUCCCCUGGGCCUGCACUGACGCUCAUGCACGAAAGCGUGGGGAGCAAACAGGAUUAGAUACCCUGGUAGUCCACGCCCUAAACGAUGUCAACUGGUUGUUGGGAAGGUUCCUUCUCAGUAACGUAGCUAACGCGUGAAGUUGACCGCCUGGGGAGUACGGCCGCAAGGUU
RNAcentral lists this ribosomal RNA (548 nucleotides) under uncultured bacterium. RNAcentral describes it as "partial 16S ribosomal RNA". It matches the Rfam family "Bacterial small subunit ribosomal RNA", at positions 355 to 895 of the family's 1533-position model. The record is from RNAcentral.